This 253-nucleotide ribosomal RNA is filed under the name uncultured bacterium. Its description in RNAcentral is "partial 16S ribosomal RNA". It matches the Rfam family "Bacterial small subunit ribosomal RNA", at positions 524 to 776 of the family's 1533-position model. The record is from RNAcentral.
UACGUAGGGGGCAAGCGUUGUCCGGAAUCAUUGGGCGUAAAGCGCGUGUAGGCGGUUCGGUAAGUCUGCUGUGAAAGUCCAGGGCUCAACCCUGGGAUGCCGGUGGAUACUGUCGGACUAGAGUACGGAAGAGGCGAGUGGAAUUCCUGGUGUAGCGGUGGAAUGCGCAGAUAUCAGGAGGAACACCAAUAGCGAAGGCAGCUCGCUGGGACGGUACUGACGCUAAGGCGCGAAAGCGUGGGGAGCGAACAGG